This 440-nucleotide ribosomal RNA is filed under the name uncultured bacterium. RNAcentral describes it as "partial 16S ribosomal RNA". It matches the Rfam family "Bacterial small subunit ribosomal RNA", at positions 338 to 795 of the family's 1533-position model. The record is from RNAcentral.
CCUACGGGUGGCAGCAGUGGGGCAUAUUGCACAAUGGGGGAAACCCUGAUGCAGCGACGCCGCGUGAGUGAAGAAGUAUCUCGGUACGUAAAGCUCUAUCAGCAGGGAAGAAAAUGACGGUACCUGACUAAGAAGCCCCGGCUAACUACGUGCCAGCAGCCGCGGUAAUACGGAGGGGGCCAGCGUUAUCCGGCUUUACGGGGUGUAAAGGGAGCGUAGACGGCAGAACAAGUCUGGAGUGAAAUCCCGGGGCUUAACCCCGGAAAUGCUUUGGAAACUGUGCGGCUGGAGUGCAGGAGGGGUAAGCGGAAUUCCUAGUGUAGCGGUGAAAUGCGUAGAUAUUAGGAGGAACACCGGUGGCGAAGGCGGCUUACUGGACUGUAACUGACGUUGAGGCUCGAAAGCGUGGGGAGCAAACAGGAUUAGAUACCCUUGUAGUC